Molecule: ribosomal RNA, 543 nt
Filed under: uncultured Chryseobacterium sp.
Lineage: Bacteria; Pseudomonadati; Bacteroidota; Flavobacteriia; Flavobacteriales; Weeksellaceae
Description: bacterial SSU rRNA
Rfam family: Bacterial small subunit ribosomal RNA
Source: RNAcentral
AGAGAGCGGCGUACGGGUGCGUAACACGUGUGCAACCUACCUUUAUCUGGGGGAUAGCCUUUCGAAAGGAAGAUUAAUACCCCAUAAUAUAAUGAUUGGCAUCAAUUAUUAUUGAAAACUCCGGUGGAUAGAGAUGGGCACGCGCAAGAUUAGAUAGUUGGUGAGGUAACGGCUCACCAAGUCUGUGAUCUUUAGGGGUCCUGAGAGGGAGAUCCCCCACACUGGUACUGAGACACGGACCAGACUCCUACGGGAGGCAGCAGUGAGGAAUAUUGGACAAUGGGUGAGAGCCUGAUCCAGCCAUCCCGCGUGAAGGAUGACGGUCCUAUGGAUUGUAAACUUCUUUUGUACAGGGAUAAACCUAUUCUCGUGAGGGUAGCUGAAGGUACUGUACGAAUAAGCACCGGCUAACUCCGUGCCAGCAGCCGCGGUAAUACGGAGGGUGCAAGCGUUAUCCGGAUUUAUUGGGUUUAAAGGGUCCGUAGGCGGACCCGUAAGUCAGUGGUGAAAUCUCAUAGCUCAACUAUGAAACUGCCAUUGAUA